CGAACAGGAUUAGAUACCCUGGUAGUCCACGCCGUAAACGAUGAGUGCUAAGUGUUAGGGGGUUUCCGCCCCUUAGUGCUGCAGCUAACGCAUUAAGCACUCCGCCUGGGGAGUACGGUCGCAAGACUGAAACUCAAAGGAAUUGACGGGGGCCCGCACAAGCGGUGGAGCAUGUGGUUUAAUUUGAAGCAACGCGAAGAACCUUACCAGGUCUUGACAUCCUCUGACAAUCCUAGAGAUAGGACGUCCCCUUCGGGGGCAGAGUGACAGGUGGUGCAUGGUUGUCGUCAGCUCGUGUCGUGAGAUGUUGGGUUAAGUCCCGCAACGAGCGCAACCCUUGAUCUUAGUUGCCAGCAUUCAGUUGGGCACUCUAAGGUGACUGCCGGUGACAAACCGGAGGAAGGUGGGGAUGACGUCAAAUCAUCAUGCCCCUUAUGACCUGGGCUACACACGUGCUACAAUGGACAGAACAAAGGGCAGCGAAACCGCGAGGUUAAGCCAAUCCCACAAAUCUGUUCUCAGUUCGGAUCGCAGUCUGCAACUCGACUGCGUGAAGCUGGAAUCGCUAGUAAUCGCGGAUCAGCAUGCCGCGGUGAAUACGUUCCCGGGCCUUGUACACACC
Molecule: ribosomal RNA, 622 nt
Filed under: Bacillus amyloliquefaciens
Lineage: Bacteria; Bacillati; Bacillota; Bacilli; Caryophanales; Bacillaceae
Also listed under: 1 other name
Description: bacterial SSU rRNA
Rfam family: Bacterial small subunit ribosomal RNA
Source: RNAcentral